This is a long non-coding RNA of Acyrthosiphon pisum (pea aphid), 323 nucleotides long. RefSeq lists it as uncharacterized. NCBI's taxonomy places the organism in Eukaryota, Metazoa, Arthropoda, Insecta, Hemiptera, Aphididae. The transcript has 3 exons. The record is from RefSeq and is a predicted model, not a curated record.
UAUUCAUAUUUGGUUUAAUUUGAAUAUAAAUGUUGUAUCCACCGUUAUUUCUAUAGGUAGUACACCAGUACACAGACCACAUUGUGACUUAAUAUUACUUUGUCAAUGCAAAUAUUAAUCCCAAGUGAUAUUCUUUGAAAUAAAUAUGGAGGAGAUAUUUGUUAUUCUUACGUUACUUUUCGGUUUCGUAUUUGGUGCGGAUGAAGUGUUACAAUUAAAUCAAGGAAAGUUGACUGGUAGCAGUUUGAAAACAAGAAAUGGACGAGAAUUCAAAGCGUUUCAGGGAAUACCCUACGCCAAACCACCAACUGGUGAUCUUAGGU